RNAcentral lists this transfer RNA (72 nucleotides) under Exophiala dermatitidis NIH/UT8656. Its description in RNAcentral is "tRNA-His (GTG) (tRNA-His-GTG-2-1)". It matches the Rfam family "tRNA". From Rfam's summary of the family: Transfer RNA (tRNA) molecules are approximately 80 nucleotides in length. Their secondary structure includes four short double-helical elements and three loops (D, anti-codon, and T loops). Further hydrogen bonds mediate the characteristic L-shaped molecular structure. tRNAs have two regions of fundamental functional importance: the anti-codon, which is responsible for specific mRNA codon recognition, and the 3' end, to which the tRNAs corresponding amino acid is attached (by aminoacyl-tRNA synthetases). tRNAs cope with the degeneracy of the genetic code in two manners: having more than one tRNA (with a specific anti-codon) for a particular amino acid; and 'wobble' base-pairing, i.e. permitting non-standard base-pairing at the 3rd anti-codon position. The record is from RNAcentral. Lineage: Eukaryota; Fungi; Ascomycota; Eurotiomycetes; Chaetothyriales; Herpotrichiellaceae.
GGUGGUAUAGUGUAGUGGUUAGCAUAGAACGUUGUGGCCGUUCUGACCUCGGUUCGAUUCCGAGUGCCGCCA